Molecule: ribosomal RNA, 457 nt
Filed under: Salmonella enterica subsp. enterica serovar Typhimurium
Lineage: Bacteria; Pseudomonadati; Pseudomonadota; Gammaproteobacteria; Enterobacterales; Enterobacteriaceae
Description: partial 23S ribosomal RNA
Rfam family: Bacterial large subunit ribosomal RNA
Source: RNAcentral
GUUCAUUAAAGUCGAGUUGGCUUAGGGAUACGUUCGUUGGGUAGGGGAGCGUUCUGUAAGCCUGUGAAGGUGUGUCGUGAGGCAUGCUGGAGGUAUCAGAAGUGCGAAUGCUGACAUAAGUAACGAUAAAGCGGGUGAAAAGCCCGCUCGCGUGAAGGCCAAGGGUUCCUAUCCAACGUUAAGCGGGGCAGGGUGAGUCGUCCGCUACGGCGAGGUCGGAGGGCGUAGUCGAUGGGAAACGGAUUAAUAUUCCCGUACUUGGUGUUACUGCAGAAGGGGUGAGGGAGAAGGGUAUGUUAGCCGAGCGACUGUUGACCCGGUUUAAUCGUGUAGGUAUGUGUUCCAGGUAAAUCCGGAUAACUUUAACACUGAGGCGUGACGACAAGGCACUACGGUGCUGAAGUAACAAAGGUCCUUCUUCCAGGAAAAGCCACUAAGCAUCAGGUAACACGAAAUC